RNAcentral lists this transfer RNA (74 nucleotides) under Planctomyces sp. RNAcentral's name for it is "tRNA-Arg". It matches the Rfam family "tRNA". From Rfam's summary of the family: Transfer RNA (tRNA) molecules are approximately 80 nucleotides in length. Their secondary structure includes four short double-helical elements and three loops (D, anti-codon, and T loops). Further hydrogen bonds mediate the characteristic L-shaped molecular structure. tRNAs have two regions of fundamental functional importance: the anti-codon, which is responsible for specific mRNA codon recognition, and the 3' end, to which the tRNAs corresponding amino acid is attached (by aminoacyl-tRNA synthetases). tRNAs cope with the degeneracy of the genetic code in two manners: having more than one tRNA (with a specific anti-codon) for a particular amino acid; and 'wobble' base-pairing, i.e. permitting non-standard base-pairing at the 3rd anti-codon position. Lineage: Bacteria; Pseudomonadati; Planctomycetota; Planctomycetia; Planctomycetales; Planctomycetaceae. RNAcentral also lists the same sequence under 4 other names. The record is from RNAcentral.
GCACCCGUAGCUCAAUUGGAUAGAGCGUCGGUCUUCGGAACCGAAGGUUGUAGGUUCGAGCCCUACCGGGUGCA